RNAcentral lists this ribosomal RNA (253 nucleotides) under uncultured bacterium. RNAcentral's name for it is "partial 16S ribosomal RNA". It matches the Rfam family "Bacterial small subunit ribosomal RNA", at positions 524 to 776 of the family's 1533-position model. The record is from RNAcentral.
UACAGAGGGUGCAAGCGUUAAUCGGAAUUACUGGGCGUAAAGCGUGCGUAGACGGUUAUGUAAGUCAGGUGUGAAAGCCCCGGGCUCAACCUGGGAAUUGCAUUUGAUACAGCACGUCUUGAGUCCGGAAGAGGUGGGUGGAAUUCCUAGUGUAGAGGUGAAAUUCGUAGAUAUUAGGAAGAACACCGGUGGCGAAGGCGGCCUUCUGGACAGUGACUGACGCUGAGACGCGAAAGCGUGGGGAGCAAACAGG